Molecule: ribosomal RNA, 673 nt
Filed under: uncultured Lachnospiraceae bacterium
Lineage: Bacteria; Bacillati; Bacillota; Clostridia; Lachnospirales; Lachnospiraceae
Description: bacterial SSU rRNA
Rfam family: Bacterial small subunit ribosomal RNA
Source: RNAcentral
AACACAUGCAAGUCGAACGGACUUACAUUGAAGCCUAGCGAUAUGUAAGUUAGUGGCGGACGGGUGAGUAACGCGUGGGUAACCUGCCUUGUACUGGGGGACAACAGUUGGAAACGACUGCUAAUACCGCAUAAGCGCACAGCUUCGCAUGAAGCAGUGUGAAAAACUCCGGUGGUACAAGAUGGACCCGCGUCUGAUUAGCUGGUUGGUGAGGUAACGGCCCACCAAGGCGACGAUCAGUAGCCGGCCUGAGAGGGUGAACGUCCACAUUGGGACUGAGACACGGCCCAAACUCCUACGGGAGGCAGCAGUGGGGAAUAUUGCACAAUGGGGGAAACCCUGAUGCAGCAACGCCGCGUGAGUGAAGAAGUAUUUCGGUAUGUAAAGCUCUAUCAGCAGGAAAGAAAAUGACGGUACCUGACUAAGAAGCCCCGGCUAACUACGUGCCAGCAGCCGCGGUAAUACGUAGGGGGCAAGCGUUAUCCGGAUUUACUGGGUGUAAAGGGAGCGUAGACGGUUUUGCAAGUCUGAAGUGAAAGCCCGGGGCUUAACCCCGGGACUGCUUUGGAAACUGUAGAACUAGAGUGCAGGAGAGGUAAGUGGAAUUCCUAGUGUAGCGGUGAAAUGCGUAGAUAUUAGGAGGAACACCAGUGGCGAAGGCGGCUUACUGGAC